This is a long non-coding RNA of Daphnia magna, 1332 nucleotides long. RefSeq lists it as uncharacterized. The record is from RefSeq and is a predicted model, not a curated record. The transcript is spliced from 2 exons. NCBI's taxonomy places the organism in Eukaryota, Metazoa, Arthropoda, Branchiopoda, Diplostraca, Daphniidae.
AUUUUUAAAGCGUCGUCCUCCUUUUCUCGCCGAUAUAAAUAUUAUAUUACAAGUUUGGCACUGUUGCGGUUUUUUUUAUUUUUUGCGAAAAAACAAAAACAAAACAAAAUCUCUCUUUCUAUUUUCUUUAAAUAUUUCGAGGCGCCCCAGAUUUCCACGUUUUGGCACACAGACACACACACCUCGUUGUGUCGGCCAGCCAGAAUAUACGCAAUCAUUUCGAAAUCUAUUUUCCGUUUAAUUGCAUUGCGCGAUGGGACUCAACACGCGUUCGGCCCAUUGAAUCCCAUCAUUUAAUCUAUACAUAGUUUUUGUCUAUAGCCUACAUACGUAUAGAAACUAUAUAAGAUCAUGGAACAAGCAAUUUGGAUGCAGGAGCCAUCGAAUGUGUCCCGUUUGUUCGAUUCGAAUUUCAUUCGUUCAACAUUCUUCGGCCGUUUUCUUUUUCUUUUUCGGGCGUGAUUGUGUUUUGGAAAACCGAAAUGAUGGCCGAUGGUGCAAUCGGUGACACUAGAAAGAAAUCCAGGACAUGCCCCCAGCGCGCGCCUCACGUUCACGCUGCGUGAAAACAAACGAAGACGUCAAUUCCGGUCAGCCAAUGCCGACGGCCAGACGAAAGUGAUGCGUGACGGAAGAGACACCUGUAAAAGCGACCGCGAGGCUCCCGCUCUCUCCCGAUGGAAGGCUGUCAAUGUGCUGUUUUCCCCUCAACCGACGUCUAACGGUUUCUUUUGUUUCUGUCCUUUUCGAUUGUCUCUUUCGUUAUUUUCUCCUGUCGUGUUUUAGAAGAAAGAAGAAGAAGAAGAAAUGCGCAACACGACAACAACAAAAAAAAAAAAAAAAGUGGACCGGUUGACCGGCUAGACUUUCGCUCUUUCGCGGAAUAUAGUCGGAUGUCACGAGCUCUCUGGAUGGCAUUUUACGCUGUUGCCAACGUUUUUUUAUUUGAUUUGAUUUGAUUUUUUUAUUUUUUUUUAUUUUUAUUUUUUUUCAGGAGUGUUGCGAUUUCUCAAAGUGAAUAAAAUCAAAAUGCGCAUUUCACCACCGGCCAAUUGCGUCAUCACGUUCCUCUCAAACAGGAAAAAUUCGCUUUAUAGACAAACUCUCUGCUGCUGUCUCCGGUCAAAAGUUAACCGAAUUCAACUCGAUUCGCAAAGUUCUCUUGCCAAAAAUUGUUUGACACACUUGUCUACAUGUUUCAAUUGCGCCAAAGGGAAUAUUUAAAAAAUAUAUAUAUAAGAAAGAAAAACCAACAAAAAAAUACACAAAUGGGACGGACAAAAACACAAAAAAAAGGGUAUAAAUGUGGGGCGGCAGUGUCUUUUACACACA